CGCGUAGGCGGACUUGUAAGUCAGGAGUGAAAACUCAGGGCUCAACCCUGAGCCUGCUUCUGAAACUGCAAGUCUUGAGGACCGGAGAGGAAAGUGGAAUUCCUAGUGUAGCGGUGGAAUGCGUAGAUAUUAGGAAGAACACCAGUGGCGAAGGCGACUUUCUGGACGGUACCUGACGCUGAGGCGCGAAAGCUAGAAGAGCAAACAGGAUUAGAUACCCUGGUAGUCC
RNAcentral lists this ribosomal RNA (229 nucleotides) under uncultured bacterium. Its description in RNAcentral is "partial 16S ribosomal RNA". It matches the Rfam family "Bacterial small subunit ribosomal RNA", at positions 568 to 796 of the family's 1533-position model. The record is from RNAcentral.